UGACCACCCAUGUUGGGUUAAAGGCCAUACGGACAGCCGGGUCAACUGCCGA
RNAcentral lists this small RNA (52 nucleotides) under Massilioclostridium coli. RNAcentral describes it as "Streptococcus sRNA SpF59 (ldcC RNA)". It matches the Rfam family "Streptococcus sRNA SpF59 (ldcC RNA)". The record is from RNAcentral. Lineage: Bacteria; Bacillati; Bacillota; Clostridia; Eubacteriales; Clostridiaceae.